Molecule: ribosomal RNA, 492 nt
Filed under: uncultured bacterium
Lineage: Bacteria
Description: partial 16S ribosomal RNA
Rfam family: Bacterial small subunit ribosomal RNA
Source: RNAcentral
AGUGAACGCUGGCGGUAGGCCUAACACAUGCAAGUCGAACGGCAGCACAGUAAGAGCUUGCUCUUACGGGUGGCGAGUGGCGGACGGGUGAGGAAUACAUCGGAAUCUACUUUUUCGUGGGGGAUAACGUAGGGAAACUUACGCUAAUACCGCAUACGACCUACGGGUGAAAGCAGGGGAUCUUCGGACCUUGCGCGAUUGAAUGAGCCGAUGUCGGAUUAGCUAGUUGGCGGGGUAAAGGCCCACCAAGGCGACGAUCCGUAGCUGGUCUGAGAGGAUGAUCAGCCACACUGGAACUGAGACACUGUCCAGACUCCUACGGGAGGCAGCAGUGGGGAAUAUUGGACAAUGGGCGCAAGCCUGAUCCAGCCAUACCGCGUGGGUGAAGAAGGCCUUCGGGUUGUAAAGCCCCUUUGUUGGGAAAGAAAAGCAGCAGGUUAAUACCCCGCUGUUCUGACGGUACCCAAAGAAUAAGCACCGGCUAACUUCGUG